AUACGGAGGAUCCGAGCAUUAUCCGGAUUUAUUGGGUUUAAAGGGUGCGCAGGCGGCCAUUUAAGUCAGCGGUUAAAUCGUGGGGCUCAACCCCAUUCUGCCGUUGAUACUGGGUGGCUUGAUUGCGGUCGAGGUUGGCGGAAUUCGUUGUGUAGCGGUGAAAUGCAUAGAUAUGACGAAGAACACCGAUUGCGUAGGCAGCUGACCAGACCGCAAAUGACGCUCAUGCACGAAAGUGCGGGGAUCGAACAGGAUUAGAUACCCUGGUAGUCCGCACAGUAAACGAUGAAUACUUGUUUUCGGCGAUAUAAUGUCGGAGGCAAAGCGAAAGCGAUAAGUAUUCCACCUGGGGAGUACGCCGGCAACGGUGAAACUCAAAGGAAUUGACGGGG
RNAcentral lists this ribosomal RNA (392 nucleotides) under uncultured bacterium. RNAcentral describes it as "partial 16S ribosomal RNA". It matches the Rfam family "Bacterial small subunit ribosomal RNA", at positions 523 to 918 of the family's 1533-position model. The record is from RNAcentral.